GGCUCGUUGGUCUAGGGGUAUGAUUCUCGCUUUGGGUGUGAGAGGUCCUGGGUUCAACUCCCAGAUGAGCCC
Mesitornis unicolor (brown roatelo) is the source of this 72-nucleotide non-coding RNA. Lineage: Eukaryota; Metazoa; Chordata; Aves; Mesitornithiformes; Mesitornithidae. The record is from Rfam.